Molecule: long non-coding RNA, 1008 nt
Filed under: Dromaius novaehollandiae (emu)
Lineage: Eukaryota; Metazoa; Chordata; Aves; Casuariiformes; Dromaiidae
Description: lncRNA (ENSDNVG00000009711.1)
Source: RNAcentral
GAAAACAUCACCCUCCAUCCACACUGCAGAAGUCUCCAAACCACAGAUUACCAGACACUGGGAAUGCUUGGGGGCAACAUGYUUACUUUGUUCCACUGCUCUUUGCAGGGCAUCCUCUACUGGCUGUUGCUGGAAACCAGAUACCAAACUAGAUGAUUUUUAAAUUCACAGUAUGACAGUUUUUCAUACAUAUAUUAUAGAGAAGAGAAGAUUCAGAGGCCAUGGAAGCAAAGUUCAUAAAUACUUGUACCAGGAGGUUUUAUGGUCAUGUAGGCACACUAGCAGAACAUACUUCUAAGAACUUUCUUGAACAGAUUUGUGAAGUCAGGAUACUGCAAAUAUCAUGUGUCAGAAUUUCAAAGACAACACCCCUCCAAAGGGAACACAAGAAGCUUUCUCUUGACAUCAAGAACAAAGUUUUCGUUUUAGCCAGUGAAGACAUACAUUCUGCUGCACAACUACGGAGCGAGGAAACUGUAUUUUGUAUCACUGGAUAAGCUUCAAAAGAAGCUGCCAAUGAAGGAUUGAGGACAUUUUUUUUGACUCUUCCAGGAAUUUCCUACAGAGAAGCAAAAGCUUUACAUUGAAUAGCUGCAGGUAGAUUCAACUUAACUGUGUUAAAAUCAACAGAACCAAAUACAAUUUUUUAGAGAGAAAUGCGUUGUGUUGUAGUAUUCUUCUGGAUGUGAGUGAAACUUUAUGAUUACAUUAACCUAAUGCCUUUUUCAUCUUUCCAAAUAGAGGGAAAACAGAUCUUCCUAGAAGUUGGAAAUUUAGGAUGUAAAGGAUGUAAAGGAGUUCCCAGAAGGGAAAGAGACAAGAUUGCAGUACUUGAUCACAACAUUUUUAAAGAACAAUUCUUCAGGAAGGCUGAUGUUAAAAGAAAACUGUUCUGCACUCCUACAACCACAUAUUUAUUUAUCACAGAAACUGGUUUCAAAAGGACUUGUAUGACAGAACCUAAAAGGAUACAUCUCUCCUAAAAUAAAUACCAUGGCCUCUUUCCCA